Molecule: ribosomal RNA, 528 nt
Filed under: uncultured bacterium
Lineage: Bacteria
Description: bacterial SSU rRNA
Rfam family: Bacterial small subunit ribosomal RNA
Source: RNAcentral
UUGACAUCCAGAGAACUUAGCAGAGAUGCUUUGGUGCCUUCGGGAACUCUGAGACAGGUGCUGCAUGGCUGUCGUCAGCUCGUGUUGUGAAAUGUUGGGUUAAGUCCGCAACGAGCGCAACCCUUUAUCCUUUGUUGCCAGCGGUUCGGCCGGGAACUCAAAGGAGACUGCCGGUGAUAAACCGGAGGAAGGUGGGGAUGACGUCAAGUCAUCAUGGCCCUUACGGCCAGGGCUACACACGUGCUACAAUGGCGCAUACAAAGAGAAGCGACCUCGCGAGAGCAAGCGGACCUCAUAAAGUGCGUCGUAGUCCGGAUUGGAGUCUGCAACUCGACUCCAUGAAGUCGGAAUCGCUAGUAAUCGUAGAUCAGAAUGCUACGGUGAAUACGUUCCCGGGCCUUGUACACACCGCCCGUCACACCAUGGGAGUGGGUUGCAAAAGAAGUAGGUAGCUUAACCUUCGGGAGGGCGCUUACCACUUUGUGAUUCAUGACUGGGGUGAAGUCGUAACAAGGUAGGCGUACGUGU